UGAUUGUUUUUGGUUUUCUUUAAUGUUCAGAUUUUUGCAAAGCUGUUUGAAUGGAAGUGCUGAUCCUCCAUGGGAACCUGCUUUCCUUCUUGCAGCAUUGGAUUUCUUGGAAACCAAAUUCUGACAUAGGGUUAUACUGUUUGUAGCACUACAGUAUUGUAGAUAAUUUGGAUUGCUUCCGGCACCAUGAUGGAGUCCCCUUUGCUGAGAAAAGAUGUUUUCAACAAUGUCGCUGUUCACAAAUCCUGGUGAAGAAGAGGAGAGCACUGGAAAGCUGUUGUAGACGUUCAUCUUGAAGGUCUGCGAUGGGACGUCUGUCGUGGAAGACAUUUAUCAAAAGACUAGUCUGUUCCAAUAAUUUGAUGGGCCCAUCACAGCGGGAUGCAGCAAGAGUACUGUCCCCCAAACUUUCCUUGAACUGUCGCAUGAGAUGCAGCAUGUCUGAGUUGAGGCAUUCCUCGGCGAGAUGAUUCCUCAUUUUUUCUGCUUGGUUUGGAUGCAGAUGUUGAGAGGGUGCCACCUGCUGAAGAUACUGCAGUAUUUCAGUUGGAGAGUUGGGAACGUGGUUGGUGGAUGUGGAUGGUGGAGGAGGCGGAGGAGGGGAAGGAGAUGAACUUUCUGUUGACUGUACCAGACGUUCAGAUUUUGUAGCAGUAGAUUUAACGCUACGUAGACUUUUGCAGUGGUGACAUGUCACAGUUUCCCUUUUGGAAUUCAAUGGCAACACUUUCAUGCACUGUGAAGAGUAUGCAGUACUUUUAUGAUAUCUGAAAUGACCCAUCAACAUUGAUCAACACUUCCAUCAGAAUUUUAUGACCAUUGCAAGAUAAGGAAGUAUCUUUCGCAAAAACAACGGAAGAGGAUGAGUUCCUUAUCAGAAAAAAAUCAUCUGGAAUACACUUGUAGAUGUCUUGCAAAUUUGCAGGAGUAUCAACAUCACAUCUUGGAGCUAAUCCUGUAUACACAAAAAUUUUUUGAGUCCAGUUUCCCUUUUUACGGACUUUUUCUCUUUUUACACCCUUGAAAGUGUUUGAAACAAGUCGCCCAAUAUAUCUAUUUACAUCUGUUUUUAGGUCAAAAUAUUGACUGAAAUUCACUGCGACAUCUUCUACUGGUACAUAUGAAUCUUUGUUUUCAAUGUAGUGCUGAUGCAACCUGCAUGUAUA
Molecule: long non-coding RNA, 1166 nt
Organism: Saccostrea cuccullata (small rock oyster)
Lineage: Eukaryota; Metazoa; Mollusca; Bivalvia; Ostreida; Ostreidae
Exons: 4
Source: RefSeq, a predicted model, not a curated record